UACAGAGGUGGCAAGCGUUGUUCGGAAUUACUGGGCGUAAAGGGCGCGUAGGCGGCCUUAUAAGUCUCGUGUGAAAGCCCUCGGCUUAACUGAGGAUCUGCACGGGAUACUGUAGGGCUCGAGUUCGGGAGAGGAAAGCGGAAUUCCGGGUGUAGCGGUGAAAUGCGUAGAUAUCCGGAGGAACACCAGUGGCGAAAGCGGACUUCUGGGUUGUUACUGACGCUGAGGUACGAAAGCGUGGGGAGCAAACGGG
This 253-nucleotide ribosomal RNA is filed under the name uncultured bacterium. RNAcentral describes it as "partial 16S ribosomal RNA". It matches the Rfam family "Bacterial small subunit ribosomal RNA", at positions 524 to 776 of the family's 1533-position model. The record is from RNAcentral.